CCUACGGGUGGCAGCAGUCGAGAAUCAUUCACAAUGGGGGAAACCCUGAUGGUGCGACGCCGCGUGGGGGAAUGAAGGUCUUCGGAUUGUAAACCCCUUUCAUGUGGGAGCAAAUUAAAAAGAUAGUACCACAAGAGGAAGAGAUGGCUAACUCUGUGCCAGCAGCCGCGGUAAUACAGAGGUCUCAAGCGUUGUUCGGAAUCACUGGGCGUAAAGCGUGCGUAGGCUGUUUCGUAAGUCGUGUGUGAAAGGCGCGGGCUCAACCCGCGGACGGCACAUGAUACUGCGAGACUAGAGUAAGGGAGGGGGAACCGGAAUUCUCGGUGUAGCAGUGAAAUGCGUAGAUAUCGAGAGGAACACUCGUGGCGAAGGCGGGUUCCUGGACAUUAACUGACGCUGAGGCACGAAGGCCAGGGGAGCGAAAGGGAUUAGAUACCCUUGUAGUC
RNAcentral lists this ribosomal RNA (446 nucleotides) under uncultured bacterium. RNAcentral describes it as "partial 16S ribosomal RNA". It matches the Rfam family "Bacterial small subunit ribosomal RNA", at positions 338 to 795 of the family's 1533-position model. The record is from RNAcentral.